RNAcentral lists this ribosomal RNA (849 nucleotides) under bacterium AH1BSX+8aut. RNAcentral's name for it is "bacterial SSU rRNA". It matches the Rfam family "Bacterial small subunit ribosomal RNA", at positions 61 to 907 of the family's 1533-position model. The record is from RNAcentral.
GUCGACGGCAGCACGGGAGCAAUCCUGGUGGCGAGUGGCGAACGGGUGAGUAAUACAUCGGAACGUGUCCUGUAGUGGGGGAUAGCCCGGCGAAAGCCGGAUUAAUACCGCAUACGCUCUACGGAGGAAAGGGGGGGAUCUUAGGACCUCUCGCUACAGGGGCGGCCGAUGGCAGAUUAGCUAGUUGGUGGGGUAAAGGCCUACCAAGGCGACGAUCUGUAGCUGGUCUGAGAGGACGACCAGCCACACUGGGACUGAGACACGGCCCAGACUCCUACGGGAGGCAGCAGUGGGGAAUUUUGGACAAUGGGCGCAAGCCUGAUCCAGCAAUGCCGCGUGUGUGAAGAAGGCCUUCGGGUUGUAAAGCACUUUUGUCCGGAAAGAAAACCUCUGGGUUAAUACCCCGGGGGGAUGACGGUACCGGAAGAAUAAGCACCGGCUAACUACGUGCCAGCAGCCGCGGUAAUACGUAGGGUGCAAGCGUUAAUCGGAAUUACUGGGCGUAAAGCGUGCGCAGGCGGUCCGCUAAGACAGAUGUGAAAUCCCCGGGCUUAACCUGGGAACUGCAUUUGUGACUGGCGGGCUAGAGUAUGGCAGAGGGGGGUAGAAUUCCACGUGUAGCAGUGAAAUGCGUAGAGAUGUGGAGGAAUACCGAUGGCGAAGGCAGCCCCCUGGGCCAAUACUGACGCUCAUGCACGAAAGCGUGGGGAGCAAACAGGAUUAGAUACCCUGGUAGUCCACGCCCUAAACGAUGUCAACUAGUUGUUGGGGAUUCAUUUCCUUAGUAACGUAGCUAACGCGUGAAGUUGACCGCCUGGGGAGUACGGUCGCAAGAUUAAAACUCAAGAA